UACAGAGGGUGCAAGCGUUGUUCGGAAUUAUUGGGCGUAAAGCGCGUGUAGGCGGCGAUGCAAGUCGGGUGUGAAAGCCCUCAGCUUAACUGAGGAAGUGCGCCCGAAACUGCGUUGCUUGAGUCCUGGAGAGGGUGGCGGAAUUCCCCAAGUAGAGGUGAAAUUCGUAGAUAUGGGGAGGAACACCGGUGGCGAAGGCGGCCACCUGGACGGGUACUGACGCUGAGACGCGAAAGCGUGGGUAGCAAACAGG
Molecule: ribosomal RNA, 253 nt
Filed under: uncultured bacterium
Lineage: Bacteria
Description: partial 16S ribosomal RNA
Rfam family: Bacterial small subunit ribosomal RNA
Source: RNAcentral